Camelina sativa (false flax) is the source of this 2567-nucleotide non-coding RNA. Lineage: Eukaryota; Viridiplantae; Streptophyta; Magnoliopsida; Brassicales; Brassicaceae. The record is from RefSeq and is a predicted model, not a curated record.
UUUGAUCUUGAGAUCUGAUACACACAACUCAGAUCUGAUACACACAAUUUAUAAUUAACUUUCUCUCUCUUAUCUCUCUCGCAUCUUUUAGAGAGAGGAAGUUCUUUCAGAUUAAAAUCGAAAUCUCUUUGAUUUUAAUCUGGUUUUUUUUGUUGUAACAUAUUAUCCAGCUUAGUCUGGAUCUUCUCUCUCGUCUAAGUACGAGUUUUGUUUUAGCCGUUUUGGCUAUCUUCUUUUAUUUUAUUCGGUUUUCCCCUUUUGCAGAAACAAAAUCUCUUCAAUUGAUUCAAGUGAAGGAGACAAACGCCGAGAAUGAAGAUCAGAGGUUCAGAAGAUCAUCAACUGCUUGAUUUCCUUGCAAGAAAGAAUAAAUCCUUCAUACCCUAUUGGUGCCGUAAUCGGCUUAGGAUGAAGGUCUUUUUCUUUGUUUGUGAUCAGGAUGAUUGGAAACUUGAUGGCUGGUGAAGACAGAUUCAACAGAUUCAGAAGAGCGUGUUUUGCUGCUGGGUCUAAAGCCUCUUGCUUUGUCAUUGGUUCCGGCGAUUCACUCUUGUUGGUGUUUGGAUCUCUCUUUAUUCAUGCCCGGAGAAAUCUGCAAAAGGAGUUAAGGUGGUGAUUCUGAAGAGUAGCUGAUUUCAGAGAAUCCAUUCUGGAUUCGAUCGAAGGUCAGCCAUGGUGGUGAUGGCGGUGACGAGUCCAAGACGAGUCGGUGACGAUUCCUAGAUGAGUCGGGGAUGAGUCGGUGACGAGUUGAAUGCAUCUCCGUGUUCAAAAACGCGGCCGCCAAGACCGAUUAAUCGCCGAUUACACGCUUGGCGGAGGGAAACCGCCGCGAUUUCACCUUAUGCGGCAAACAAAUCGGAAUUUUAGUCGCUAUAUAGUCGCAGAUACGGGUUCGGAUGUAAUUUGGAGCAAUUUCAGGAUCUGAGGUGUCCUAGAGAUUUCAACGGAGCAAAGAUUUGGGGUCUGUAUUGAUUUAAUGCAAAUUCUCUUAAGGUUUUAGUGGGAUUUUUUUCCGUUUAGAAAUAUGGAGUUGUCCGUCUCUCCUCAAACCCAGAAUAUGAACUUGCAAACUCCCCGUAAAAGCUCACUUUCAGGGUCUAGGAAAGAUUUGUGGUUUGCUAUUCGAGAAGGGUCAUUGGUUGAUGUGGAUUCAGCACUGACCACGCUGAAGAAGAGCGGUGGCAAUAUUAAUUUAAGGAAUGCCUAUGGUCUGACUCCUCUGCAUAUUGCUAUCUGGAGAAACCACAUUCCUAUUAUUAGUAGACUUCUUGCAGCUGGCGCUGAUCCAGAUGCUAAGGAUGGAGAAUCUGGUUGGAGUAGUCUUCACAGAGCUUUGCAUUUUGGACAUCUUACGGUAGCUAGCGUACUCAUCGAGUCAGGUGCUUCUUUUACUCUAGAAGACAUAAAACUGCAGACACCGGUUGAUUUGGUCUCAGGUCCAAUAGCUCAGGUUAUUGGCGAGCAAUAGAGUUCAGUGGCUACAGAGGUUUUCAGCUGGGGAAAUGGUGCAAACUACCAACUUGGGGAAAUGGUACCAUUACUUUUAAAUUCCUGCUGAAACAAAAAGCUUGAAACUUCAAACCUCAUUUCAUCUUUGUUGGAUACACUUGUUGAUACGUAUGUCUUUUAAGUUCCUACUAUGUCGCAUAUGGUGUUUCAGAGCGUCGUUGCUCCCAAACCCUUAUCUCCACUCAAACCCUGUUUACCUAUCCCUCGUCCACUACCCAAUCUGCCUUGUAAGCUCCGUCGUGGCUUCGUUAGGGCUUCCUCCUCUUUUCUUGUUGAUGAUUCAGUUUCGGGUCUUGAGCGCUGCUUACAAUUGCCUACGGGAGUUGAGUUACGCCCUUCUUCCUCUGGUUCCUUCUCUGCUAGUACUCAGAUGUGUCUUAUGAUGAAAGGCAAUUUUGGUUCCGUAGGAGCUGUUACUUUGGAAAAGGGGAAGCUUGAUAUGACCCUGAAGAUAUCUGAGACCAGCCCUGAGGAUUAUGAACGUUCAAUUAGGGGAAAAUUCAAGACAGGCAUGGCUAGGUGUGGAGGCAGACCCAUUGGCGCAGUCAGAUGAUCUGCUGGCAAAGGCAUACAACCGACCCUCAGAGGAAGCAGUAGCAAAGCCAUCUUCAAGAUGGUUUAUCUCAAAGAAUGCAAUUGUCUCAGGGCUACUUGGGAAGAAGCAAGAGGACUCAGUUUCAGAUCCUGCACCUCCAAAGGCUAGACAAAAAAGGAUUGUGAGGAAGAAGGUGGCUGCAUCUGCCUCUUAAAUAACCAACAAAACCUCUAAAAUGUCACAAUUUUCAGAGUCCAUGAAAGAGCAACAGUGAGGUUAUGUUGUUCAUUUGAGGCACACAUGAAAAAGUUUUGUUGCCAGAGGAAAAAUGAAUCACCAAACUAGGGGAAUUGGAAAUGAUCUAUAGCUUUUUUUUCUUUAUGACUGAAUCUCAAGUUUUAAGUUCUUUUGGAAAGACAGUUCUAUUUUUUAGGUGUGGUGAUGAUUGCCAUUCUGUAUUUUCACCUUUUUUUCCUUACUUUUCUCAAGUGCUAAUAAAAUUAGCCACAUAUUUUAUGUU